RNAcentral lists this ribosomal RNA (252 nucleotides) under uncultured bacterium. Its description in RNAcentral is "partial 16S ribosomal RNA". It matches the Rfam family "Bacterial small subunit ribosomal RNA", at positions 524 to 775 of the family's 1533-position model. The record is from RNAcentral.
UACGUAGGUGGCAAGCAUUGUCCGGAAUUAUUGGGCGUAAAGCGCGCGCAGGCGGUCCCUUAAGUCUGAUGUGAAAGCCCACGGCUCAACCGUGGAGGGUCAUUGAAAACUGGGGGACUUGAGUGCAGAAGAUGAAAGUGGAAUUCCAUGUGUAGCGGUGAAAUGCGUAGAGAUGUGGAGGAACACCAGUGGCGAAGGCGACUUUCUGGUCUGUAACUGACGCUGAGGCGCGAAAGCGUGGGGAGCAAACAG